Molecule: transfer RNA, 73 nt
Filed under: Erinaceus europaeus (western European hedgehog)
Lineage: Eukaryota; Metazoa; Chordata; Mammalia; Eulipotyphla; Erinaceidae
Rfam family: tRNA
About the family: Transfer RNA (tRNA) molecules are approximately 80 nucleotides in length.
Source: Rfam by way of RNAcentral
AGGAAAGUAACUCAGUUGGUAGAGUACAGGGCUUAGAUGCCUGAGGCUCCUAGUUUAAUCCCUGGCUCACCUC